This 839-nucleotide ribosomal RNA is filed under the name uncultured bacterium. RNAcentral's name for it is "bacterial SSU rRNA". It matches the Rfam family "Bacterial small subunit ribosomal RNA", at positions 31 to 878 of the family's 1533-position model. The record is from RNAcentral.
GAACGCUAGCGGCAGGCCUAAUACAUGCAAGUCGAGGGGCAGCGGGACCAGCAAUGGUUGCCGGCGACCGGCGCACGGGUGCGUAACACGUAUACAAUCUGCCUUUAACAGGGGAAUAGCCCGGAGAAAUCCGGAUUAAUACCCCAUAAUAUCUUGAGUGGCAUCACUUGGGAUUGAAAGCUCCGGCGGUUAAAGAUGAGUAUGCGUCUGAUUAGUUAGUUGGUGAGGUAACGGCUCACCAAGACAGCGAUCAGUAGGGGAUCUGAGAGGACUACCCCCCACACGGAUACUGAGACACGGAUCCGACUCCUACGGGAGGCAGCAGUAAGGAAUAUUGGACAAUGCCCGCAAGGGUGAUCCAGCCAUGCCGCGUGCGGGAAGACGGCCCUAUGGGUUGUAAACUGCUUUUACACCAGGGAAAACCCCAGUACGUGUACUGGGCUGAUAGUAUGGUGAGAAUAAGCAUCGGCUAACUUCGUGCCAGCAGCCGCGGUAAGACGAAGGAUGCAAGCGUUAUCCGAAUUCAUUGGGUUUAAAGGGAGCGUAGGUGGCCUUGUAAGUCAGUGGUGAAAUCUCUGGGCUUAACCCAGAAAUUGCCAUUGAUACUGCAGGGCUUGAGUAUAGAUGCCGUUGGCGGAAUAUGACAUGUAGUGGUGAAAUACAUAGAGAUGUCAUAGAACACCGAUUGCGAAGCAGCUGACGAAACUAUAACUGACACUGAGCUCGAAAGUGUGGGGAUCAAACAGAUAGAUACCCUGGUAGUCCACACUGUAAACGAUGAUACUCGCUGCUGGGAGGUACUUUCAGUGGCUGAGCGAAGCGAUAGUAUCCACCUGGGG